GAACCGGACGAACGUUAUUCGGAAUUAUUGGGCUUAAAGGGUGCGUAGGCGGCUUGGUAAGUUGGAUGUGAAAGCCCUCGGCUCAACCGAGGAAUUGCGUCCAAAACUGCCAGGCUUGAGGGAGACAGAGGCGAGCGGAACUUAGGGUGGAGCGGUGAAAUGCGUUGAUAUCCUAAGGAACACCAGUGGCGAAGGCGGCUCGCUGGGUCUCUUCUGACGCUGAGGCACGAAAGCUAGGGGAGCGAACGGGAUUAGAUACCCCGGUAGUCCUAGCUGUAAACGAUGAGCACUUGGUUGGAGGAUUUUCACUGAUCUUCCGGCCCGGAGCGAAAGUGUUAAGUGCUCCGCCUGGGGGAGUAUGGUCGCAAGGCUGA
This 374-nucleotide ribosomal RNA is filed under the name uncultured organism. Its description in RNAcentral is "partial 16S ribosomal RNA". It matches the Rfam family "Bacterial small subunit ribosomal RNA", at positions 527 to 897 of the family's 1533-position model. The record is from RNAcentral.